AUUUUUGUGCAUACAAUAUUCACUAUGUUUUGUCCAAAAUUGUUUCAUUUAUAUGCAAGAUUUUUAAAAGAUUAUGGGUAUUUGAUGCAGCAGUGUGAAUAAAUGCAAACUAACUUGAAUCUUAAAGCUGUAUAUGACCUAGGGGUGUAUUGUGCAGCUCCACUUAUUAAACCCCAUUUCAUGUUUUUCCUCCUUACAUAAUCUCAAUGUUUUUUUUUUGUUUUUUUCAACCACGAUCCAGCCUGUACAUUCCGGUGGUUGUCAUAGCAACAGGGCAGCAUCCCUCUCCAUCCUUUGUCCAGUGUCUCCCCCGUUCGUUUGAGCUUCCCAGGCAGAGAGAGGCUUGGAUUCUGCAUGCAAAUAGAACCCCCUUAUUUCGGCUUCAAAAGCGAGGAAGCGGAAAGAUUUUACUUGGUGACUGAAUGUCAGCGAGCCGCUUUCACAGAUCGUCGCAGGGUGGUGAUCCCCACAUCCUGGGUUGGCGGUUACAGCACCCGAGUUGCAAACAAGGGGAACAGUGCUGCCAACAGAGAGCCAAGAGCAACAGUUUUGAAUCUUGAAAAAGAGAUGUUAUUUGAAAGCUGACAUUUCAUACUUUCAGGCACACAAAAAACAUGAGCACAGACGACAUGAUGGCUUAAGAAAAGUGGACACUGUGUCCUUCUUUUACCCUGUAAGCUUCACUGGGAAAACUGGCCUGACAGUAGCUUGUAGUGGUUAGAUUCAAGGUUUGGAUUCUGGAUCUUACACACCCUGGUCACUUUGCUUUUAACAUAAAUGGUAUUUCUGCCAAGCACACGGAACAACUUCUUUGCAUUCAGGCAUCUAGAUGUAGGUUCUUACCAGGACUAUUUAACUGGUAAGAAAUAUAAAAUAUCCAGAGUGGCAGUUGGUGGCAGACAAAAUGUCUUGAUAAUAUCAGAGAUGAAUAGGCUGGAGAUUAUAGAAACAGUAGCUCAAAAAACUUCCUGUCACAACUGAGUGGAAGUCCGUCUCUGAACACACACAUUGAACUUUGAAGCAGAAGGGAGACAACAGAAGAAAAACACAACAGAUGAUGCUCCUGUCUGCCUGGUCUGACGAGUCUUUGACGUAAACAACAUGAAAACAUGGAUCCACCCUUCCUUGUGUCAAUGCUUCAGACUGACUGUGGUAGCUCAAUAAUUUGGAAAAAUUAUCUUAGCAUAUUUCCUUAGAACACUCGGUCAUUGUUUGAAUGCUUUAGUCAUUUUAUGACCACAGUGUACCCACCUUCUAAUGGUUACGUCUGACAAGACAAUGCAUGACCUCACAAAGCUCAAAUCAUCUCAAACUGGUUUCUUGACAUGUGUUCACAGUGGCCAUCCUCACCAAAUUUGCAUCUGAUAGAGCAACUACAUCACUGGGACAUGGUGAAACGCUGAAUAUGCAUUAUGGAUGCACAGCUAAAACAUUUGAAGCAAUUAGGAGAUAAUAUGUCAACAAGGACUUAAAUAGAUAAGACAUGUUAUAGACACAUUUUUAAUUAUUUACUGCAAAGAAUUGAAGGCAAAAGAGAGUCAAACCUGUAACUAGAAAGAUGUGAUCACCUAGAGUUUAAUCUUUGUCAGAGUCUACAUUUAAUUUUGCUGUUUUUUUCCCUCCAAGGGUGAGUUUACAAUCUCCACCAUGACAUCAUCUGUUUUGAACCUGCACUGUAGAACGGUAGGCUAUAUUAGCUUGGAGCGCACUGUAAUGCCUGUUUGUUCAGGCACAUGUGUGUGCAGAUAGUCUGGGAAUUCAGCAAAGUCAUGUACACAACAAGUGAAGGGUAGAACAUGGUUUAUGAGUUAAAGAACAGCAGCAACAAAAAAAAGAUAGAGAACACUUGUUAGCUUCGGGCCAGCUGUCCAGAUCCUUACACAGGAUCCAGCCCUUCACUUUGAGAUUGGCUAGCUUGUUCCAGUGAGAGCCAAUCAGUGCACUGACUAACAUCUUUAUAGUGUGAAGCAGCUGGGAUCUAGGUGAAAGGUCUCAGAAACAAACUCAGUGGCCCUUCCCCCUGGAAGGGAGAGCAUAGCAGAAAUGGACGUUUAUGUCUCGUGCAAAUAUGGGAAAAAAAUGUUCUGAAAGUCCAAAACCAGCUAGCAGAUACAAGGACUGAGUACUCCUUGUAUCCAUUAAGAGUUUGUAUCACUUGAAGGUUAGAGUUUGUAUCACUCGAAAUCCCAUGUUAGAAAUACAGAUAUCUGUAAUUCUGAAAGUUAAAACCAGUAUUACAGAUGGCUCUGACAAAAUAAGUCAGAGCCAUCACCCAUAACAAUCAGUGUAAAGGAGUUUAACAGAGAACCGACAGGGAGAUUGUGCUCCGGCCAUAGCAUUGAAAGAGCCUAAUAUGAGUGCCUCACUAUCCAGUUUCCACCCACAGGAGAUGGAAGAAAAACCAUGAGAACAAAAAACUGCCGUUGAGCGGUUGGUUAGAAAUAUGCCAAGCUGAAACCACAAAAUAUAUUCUGCAAUUUGCAGACCAGCCUGUAUCUCUCUAGAUGGCUACUUGAAACCAGUUUUCUGUAUGUUUGUCAUGUCCAACAGUAUGGACGCUUCACUCAGCUUUGCUAAAAAAAAAAAAAACUAAAAAUAAAGUCUUAAUUUUCCAAAUCCUCUUCAUUUAAAAAAGUGAAUCUUGCCUCAUUUCACAGGUUUAUGCAAUGCAUCAUUAAAUCUUGCCAUCGGCAUGGCAAAUCCAAAAUAAAACAAUUUGAUACAAGACUCAAACACAUGUAUUUGUGAUAAAAAUAAAUGUUUUAAAUCUAUCAAUAAAAAUCACCAGGUUCAGUAAACUUGACGUUUUACAAAAUCAGGUGCAUUACAAUAUAUUGCAGUUAACAAAAGGAUAAAACUCCUUGAGGAAACUACAAAUGGCAUUAUGGAAAGAGCCACCACUUUAUAACAACUCAUGUCAGGGACAUCUACUAGUCUUUACAAAUUGACCAAAAUGUGCCAGAAUUUGAGGACAUCAAACAUCAUUAAAAAA
This is a long non-coding RNA of Xiphophorus couchianus (Monterrey platyfish), 2992 nucleotides long. RefSeq lists it as uncharacterized. The transcript is spliced from 2 exons. The record is from RefSeq and is a predicted model, not a curated record. Lineage: Eukaryota; Metazoa; Chordata; Actinopteri; Cyprinodontiformes; Poeciliidae.